This 449-nucleotide ribosomal RNA is filed under the name uncultured bacterium. RNAcentral describes it as "partial 16S ribosomal RNA". It matches the Rfam family "Bacterial small subunit ribosomal RNA", at positions 29 to 523 of the family's 1533-position model. The record is from RNAcentral.
AACGAACGCUGGCGGCAGGCUUAACACAUGCAAGUCGAACGAGAUCUUCGGAUCUAGUGGCAGACGGGUGAGGAACACGUGGGAACAUCCCUUUCAGUUCGGAAUAACGUUGGGAAACUAACGCUAAUACCGGAUACGUCCUUCGGGAGAAAGAUUUAUCGCUGAAAGAUUGGCCCGCGUCUGAUUAGCUAGUUGGUGAGGUAACGGCUCACCAAGGCUACGAUCAGUAGCUGAUCUGAGAGGAUGAUCAGCCACAUUGGGACUGAGACACGGCCCAAACUCCUACGGGAGGCAGCAGUGGGGAAUAUUGGACAAUGGGCGAAAGCCUGAUCCAGCCAUGCCGCGUGAGUGAUGAAGGCCUUAGGGUUGUAAAGCUCUUUUGUCCGGGAAGAUAAUGACUGUACCGGAAGAAUAAGCCCCGGCUAACUUCGUGCCAGCAGCCGCAGUAA